UGGGGAAUAUUGCACAAUGGGCGCAAGCCUGAUGCAGCCAUGCCGCGUGUAUGAAGAAGGCCUUCGGGUUGUAAAGUACUUUCAGUCGGGAGGAAGGUGUCAAGGUUAAUAACCUUGGCAAUUGACGUUACCGACAGAAGAAGCACCGGCUAACUCCGUGCCAGCAGCCGCGGUAAUACGGAGGGUGCAAGCGUUAAUCGGAAUUACUGGGCGUAAAGCGAACGCAGGCGGUUGAUUGAGUCAGAUGUGAAAUCCCCGGGCUUAACCCGGGAAUUGCAUCUGAUACUGGUCAGCUAGAGUCUUGUAGAGGGGGGUAGAAUUCCAUGUGUAGCGGUGAAAUGCGUAGAGAUGUGGAGGAAUACCGGUGGCGAAGGCGGCCCCCUGGACAAAGACUGACGCUCAGGUGCGAAAGCGUGGGGAGCAAACAGG
Molecule: ribosomal RNA, 429 nt
Filed under: Chloroflexota bacterium
Lineage: Bacteria; Bacillati; Chloroflexota
Description: Chloroflexi bacterium partial 16S ribosomal RNA
Rfam family: Bacterial small subunit ribosomal RNA
Source: RNAcentral